GAAUAGUCGAAAUCCUUUGUUAAUAAAAUACCUGUUUUGACUUUAGAUUUAGAGGGACCUGCAGGAGCUGACAGACUGGUCUGGUCGCCUAUGUCCUGCAUCCUUCGAAGAGAACUCACUCACCUCUUGACUCGAGCAGUACAAACGGGACACGAUGGGACACGAUGACGGCUUCUCUACACAUUUAUCAAUAAAUGGCGGCAUAAAAAGAUGAA
Molecule: long non-coding RNA, 215 nt
Organism: Sebastes umbrosus (honeycomb rockfish)
Lineage: Eukaryota; Metazoa; Chordata; Actinopteri; Perciformes; Sebastidae
Exons: 3
Source: RefSeq, a predicted model, not a curated record